RNAcentral lists this ribosomal RNA (253 nucleotides) under uncultured bacterium. RNAcentral's name for it is "partial 16S ribosomal RNA". It matches the Rfam family "Bacterial small subunit ribosomal RNA", at positions 524 to 776 of the family's 1533-position model. The record is from RNAcentral.
UACAGAGGGUGCAAGCGUUGUUCGGAAUUGUUGGGCGUAAAGCGCGUGUAGGCGGUCCGAUAAGUCGGCUGUGAAAGUCCAGGGCUCAACUCUGGAAUGCCGGCCGAUACUGUCGGACUAGAGUCCGGAAGAGGUGAGUGGAAUUCCCGGUGUAGCGGUGAAAUGCGCAGAUAUCGGGAGGAACACCAAUGGCGAAGGCAGCUCACUGGGACGGCACUGACGCUGAGACGCGAAAGCGUGGGGAGCAAACAGG